This 450-nucleotide ribosomal RNA is filed under the name Haiyanga salina. RNAcentral's name for it is "partial large subunit ribosomal RNA". It matches the Rfam family "Eukaryotic large subunit ribosomal RNA", at positions 72 to 526 of the family's 3401-position model. The record is from RNAcentral. Lineage: Eukaryota; Fungi; Ascomycota; Sordariomycetes; Microascales; Halosphaeriaceae.
GGAUUGCCCCAGUAACGGCGAGUGAAGCGGCAACAGCCCAAAUUUGAAAUCCGGCUCCCCGCGGGCCCGAGUUGUAAUUUGCAGAGGAUGCUUUUGGCAAGGUGCCCUCCGAGUCCCCUGGAACGGGGCGCCGCAGAGGGUGAGAGCCCCGUACGGUCCGGCACCGCGCCUGCCUGUAAAGCUCCCUCGACGAGUCGAGUAGUUUGGGAAUGCUGCUCAAAACGGGAGGUAAACUCCUUCUAAGGCUAAAUACCGGCCAGAGACCGAUAGCGCACAAGUAGAGUGAUCGAAAGAUGAAAAGCACUUUGGAAAGAGAGUUAAACAGCACGUGAAAUUGUUGAAAGGGAAGCGCUUGCGGCCAGACUUGCGGCGGGCGGCUCAGCAGCGCCUCGUGCGCUGUGCACUCUGCCCGCCACAGGCCAGCAUCGGUUCCCGUCGGGGGACAAGUGC